Vicia faba (fava bean) is the source of this 186-nucleotide non-coding RNA. Lineage: Eukaryota; Viridiplantae; Streptophyta; Magnoliopsida; Fabales; Fabaceae. The record is from the annotation of a GenBank genome assembly.
AUGGUUAAACUACUUUUGCAGGAGCGGACUGUGAAGGUGAUUUUGUAUAUAUCAUCUUUGAGUUGUAAUGUGAAAAAGGCCUUUUCUCAUAAUCUCAACUUCUACUGGCCUGUUUACAUGGGAAUAAAAUAUGUAUGUGAUAGCAUUAGAGCAUUAGAGUUUUACAAUGAAGAUGGUCGUAGUUAA